UGGGGAAUAUUGCACAAUGGACGGAAGUCUGAUGCAGCAACGCCGCGUGCGGGAUGAUGGCCUUCGGGUUGUAAACCGCUUUUUCUCAUGACGAAGUUUUUUGACGGUAGUGGGGGAAGAAGCACCGGCUAACUACGUGCCAGCAGCCGCGGUGAUACGUAGGGUGCGAGCGUUGUCCGGAAUUAUUGGGCGUAAAGAGCUUGUAGGCGGUUUGUCGCGUCGAUAGUGCAAACUCAGUGCUUAACGCUGAGCCUGCUGUUGAUACGGGCAGACUAGAGGAAGGUAGGGGAGAAUGGAAUUCCCGGUGGAGCGGUGGAAUGCGCAGAUAUCGGGAGGAACACCGGUGGCGAAGGCGGUUCUCUGGGCCUUUCCUGACGCUGAGAAGCGAAAGCGUGGGGAGCGAACAGG
RNAcentral lists this ribosomal RNA (408 nucleotides) under Fusobacteriota bacterium. RNAcentral describes it as "Fusobacteria bacterium partial 16S ribosomal RNA". It matches the Rfam family "Bacterial small subunit ribosomal RNA", at positions 355 to 776 of the family's 1533-position model. Lineage: Bacteria; Fusobacteriati; Fusobacteriota. The record is from RNAcentral.